AACGUAGGAGGCGAGCGUUAUCCGGAUUUACUGGGUGUAAAGCGCGUGCAGGCGGUUUGAUAAGUUGGAUGUGAAAGCUCCUGGCUCAACUGGGAGAGGUCGUUCAAAACUAUCAGACUAGAGAGUGGUAGAGGAAAGUGGAAUUCCCGGUGUAGUGGUGAAAUGCGUAGAUAUCGGGAGGAACACCAGUGGCGAAGGCGGCUUUCUGGACCAUUUCUGACGCUCAGACGCGAAAGCUAGGGGAGCAAACGGG
This 253-nucleotide ribosomal RNA is filed under the name uncultured bacterium. RNAcentral's name for it is "partial 16S ribosomal RNA". It matches the Rfam family "Bacterial small subunit ribosomal RNA", at positions 524 to 776 of the family's 1533-position model. The record is from RNAcentral.